CAUCAAUCAAUCAAUCGAAUUGUUGAUAAAUAAAGCGAACGCAAAUCAAAAAAAAAAAAAAAACUAAAAACAAUAAAAUAAGAAAAUCGAACGCUUGUGAAGUACUGCAAAUAGCAUUAUUUAAUGCAACAACCACAAGUGCCCUAAACAAAAAGCGUCAACCGCCCCCAAGUAAAGCGCAAAAAGCCACACGAACUAUAGCGUGAGGGACUUUGAACGGUUGCGACUCUGGUGGUGGAUUUCUGUGGGGUGGGUGGCAGAAACGCGUUUAAUCGCGUCGUUGUCAAAGGCCCUGGCGGCAAAAUAAUGUACAAAUUGACUGUGAAAUGUGCAAAAGCGAAAAAAGCUCAAAAGUUACGCAAAAAAUGCAGCAGCGCCGCAGUCGCCGAGGCAAAUGCAGCAUCGAGCAGAAUGUGAAACGGAAACGAGCAAACGACCAGUGCUAAUAAUGCAAAGGAUCUAAGGAUGCGUCCGAGAGCCAUUGACCACCGAACCAGCAAUUUGUCAUUAAAGCCUAGGUCAACAGCAACUGCAACAACUGCCGCUGCAACUGCAACUGCAACAGCAAUUACGUUUGCAACAUAGCCCCAAAAGCCUCGCCAACUGCACCUGCUAAUAACGCUGUCACCCGCCGGCAAACUCCCGACGCCGCCCGUAAUCCACGUCACUGUUGUUGUUGUUGUUGUGUUUGUUGUUGCUGCUGCUGUUUGUGAUUUCAGUUUUGAUAACUAAACUCUAAAGUUUGUGCGGCUUAGGCAACGUCGAACAGCAUCCAGGCACCCGGUCAUCCAGGCAGCAUCCAGGCAGCAUCCUUCAGCACCAGUUGACAGGCAACGCAGUUCAGCACCCCAUAUACGAGCAACGAAUAAAUCGAACUUGCAUUUUUUAUACAACGCUAAUGAAUUUUUGUAAAAUUAAGUUGAUUAAACGGUCACGCCCCUUGGCGCAUUUCUCGAGACUUCAGCCAGGGCCACAAAUGCCCCAACUGUAGCAGCAGAAGAACGGCUUUCCCAUAAGGAUCCCCACUCAUAAAUGCAGUGGAAGAAGAAGUUUACUCGAUUGAAAGCAGCUACUGGAAAUUCGCGUGUGCGAAGAAUGCUUUGUUGUGGACGUAGAAAGGAAAAUGGAAGAUCAGUUCCUGAUGUUACCGCCAGUCCGGGCCGUGCACCGCCCGGCCCGCUGCCCGCCAAUCAGCAGCCCGGCAUGGGCAACCAACAGCAGCAGCACCACCAUGCCAACCAGCAGCAGCAGCAGCAGCAGCAGCAACAGCAUCAUGGUAACCAGCAACAGAACCGCGGCCAGAGCGGCAAUACAAACGGCUCUGGCGGCGUUAAGGAUCCGGUGCUGCUCCAAGGUGACUUUCGCAAGGUCAGCGGGAUCAGUUCGGAGAUUUUUCGACAGAUAGAAGCUGUCGAGAACGAUCAUGAUCCGAAUACCGCUGCAGCGCUGGAGGCAGUGGAGCGGCGCGGAGAGAUGAUUGUGCGCAUCUUGGAGCCACGCUCCAUGGGCAGUAAACAGGCUGUGGAUGCGGCACAUAAGCUGAUGAACAAAGCCGAUGGCCGGCACACCGUGCAACUGGUGGAGAUUGUGAAGCGGCCCGGCCAAACACUCGGCCUGUAUAUACGUGAAGGCAACGGCGCCGAUCGCACCGAUGGCGUCUUCAUAUCCCGCAUAGCCCUGGAGUCGGCAGUCUACAACAGCGGCUGCUUAAGGGUGGGCGACGAAAUCCUGGCCGUCAAUUUGGUUGAUGUCACACAUAUGUCGCUCGAUGAUGUCGUCAUCAUCAUGUCAAUUCCUCGGCGUCUGGUGCUGGCCAUACGGCAGAGGCGUGGUAACCGUGGAGCCGGUUCACCGGGUCCGCCAACACUGUCGCGACCAGAACAGAAGCCGCCGCCGGUGGUGGUUAUCAAGCGUGAUCUCAGAGACGAGGACCUGGACGAAACGGAUCGAAUGCCGCGCCCGCGUUCAUCACGUGAAAGACGUACAGGUAGCGAUGGUCGCGAGAUGACCGAGUCGCGCUCCAGACUGGGUCUGGGCCUUAACAACUACAGCCCUCAGUCAGAGCAGCUGGACAUGUACUACAAUACACGGGCUGGCGUUAACGCAAUGGGCGAACCCCCGAACUGGGGCUACAAAGCACCGCCGCCACCAUCCUCGGUCAUUACGGAGCAGCCCACCAAGGGGCAUGCCUUUGCGCCUUCACAUGCUUACUAUCAGAACGCUGGCACACUGGAAAGCCUGGCCGAAAAGGUGCACGCUUUCUACCCAGGCGCACCUGGCCAACCGCUAGGUCCCUCGCGACGCAUGUCCACGGGCACAGGAAAUGUGGGUUUGGCUCAGCAACAUGCACGUUUUCCGCGCUCUGGUUCAGAUCAGCAUUUGCCGCGAGUCGAAUACGCGGAUUACUCCAACUCUUUAGGCCGCCACUCCCUGCUGCGUUCCAGCUUGAAACCCGGUACAGGCGCCCCAAUGCCCGUGGGCGUUGGAGGCACUCUGGGUCGCUAUGGGCGUUAUGAGCAGCAACGCGGUGGAGUUCCAAAGUAUGGGCCUCCGGCAGCCGGUCCGCAGUCACUGACCCGCCGCUCGCGGCCCAAUCUGGACUACUCCAGCGAUACCGAAGCCACCAUUGGGCCUCGUCCUAGUUACUAUUACUAUAACCGACCCGCCAUAGGCAGUAUGCCACGCGGCGCUGGAGGCGUGGGUAGUGGAGCAGCUGCAGCGGCAGCUGCAAUGUUGGCCGGCACCGCAGAUCUAAAUAAAUUCAACUCACUGCCCAGGGAGCGACCGGGCGUUAGGUUACAGGGCAUACGUGCGCGCAUAGGAGACCGCAUUCUGGAUGAGAACGAUGGCAAUAUUUCGGCACCCGAGUAUGAUGCGCGGCGCGGCCGCGAUCUGCGCCAACGCAUUUCUGCUAGCCCUGGCCCCUCUAUCUUUACGGCGGACGAGUAUCGUGCGUGGCUACGGCGCGCGCCCAGUAGCUCUGCGAUUGCGGAGCAAAUGCGUAUGACUAGGGAUAUGUUCGCCCAGCCGCGCUCACAUCGCUUCUCCUGCAGUGCGGAAAACAUUCACGAUGCCCUGCGGAACACCGAGAGCAUUUACUCGAGCAGAACGGGCAUACUCGGUGCUGGCACGCUGGAUCGUAAUCUGGGCCUCACUCGACCCAUCUCUGCACUGCCUGUACGGUCCAUGUCCUCGCAGCACAUAGGCGGUGCUGGUUCCAUACGCUCGCCCAGUAUACGACGCAUGCGUCAGCUGCUGGAACUUUCUGCUGGUCCAGCCAGUCCUAGUGGCAGUAUUAUGAGUACAGCCGGUCAUCAGAGUCCCGCGCCCACGCCCAGCGCAACAUUGCCGCGUGCUCAUCGCCAGAUUGACAUUAAUCCGGCAGAGUUUGCCAAGUACAAGCUGGACAAGCCUAUUGUGGACAUUGGCGGCGUCUCGGGCAUGCUGUGGAUACAUCUGCUGGCCGGCCGCGGAUUGCGGACAGUACCAGAACAGGGUGCACAGCAUGCACCUGGUGGGGCACCACUCCCACAGACUAGAGAUCUUUACUGCGUAAUCGAGUGUGAUCGCGUGCAUAAGGCGCGUACAGUGGUGCGUUCGGGAGAUUUGCAAUUCGAUUGGGAUGAGUCAUUUGAACUAGAUCUGGUGGGCAACAAGCAGCUGGACGUGCUCGUCUAUUCCUGGGAUCCACAGCACAGGCACAAGCUGUGCUAUCGCGGCGCCAUAUCGCUGUCGGCGGUGCUGCGGCAAUCGCCACUGCAUCAGCUGGCGCUUAAAGUGGAGCCUCGCGGCACUGUCUACAUACGCAUGCGGCAUACAGAUCCUCUCGCACUGUACAAGCGUCGCGGGCUGCCCAGUUUGCGUGCCGGUUAUCCGACACUUUUCGGUGCCGAUCUGGAGACGGUGGUCAACAGGGAGUCAAAGAAUGCGCCCGGCUGUGCGCCAGUGCCAAUUGUGCUGCGACGUUGCGUUGAGGAGGUGGAGCGGCGAGGCCUCGAUAUAAUCGGGUUGUAUCGCCUGUGCGGAUCGGCAACGAAGAAGCGUCUGCUGCGCGAGGCCUUCGAGCGCAAUAGCCGAGCUGUGGAAUUGAGCCCGGAACACGUUCCUGAUAUUAAUGUUAUUACCGGCGUACUCAAGGAUUACCUCAGGGAGCUGCCGGAGCCAUUGUUUACACGCUGUCUCUUCCAGAUGACAGUCGAUGCCUUGGCUGUCUGUCUGCCAGAUGAUCCUGAGGGCAAUGCGAAACUGAUGCUUAGCAUACUCGACUGUUUGCCCAGAGCGAAUAGGGCUACCUUGGUAUUCCUGCUUGACCAUCUUUCGCUGGUUGUGUCAAAUGCGGAGCGCAAUAAAAUGUCUGCUCAGGCGCUGGCCACUGUGAUGGGUCCUCCGCUGAUGCUGCACUCGGCCAGUGCGCAGCCUGGCGCUGAUAUUGAUCAUGCUCAGCCGAUUGCGGUACUCAAGUAUCUACUGCAGAUCUGGCCUCAGCCACAAACGCAGCAGACGCAGCAUCAGCAGCUGGCUCAGCACAUGGGCGGCAUGGCCGCUGCCAGCAGCAUGAGCAAUAUGGCGGGUGUUGCUUCAGACAGGUCGGCGCGGCGAGUCAACAGGGCAGCGUGGAAGCAAAGUCAGUGCGUUGCCAGUGGACAGACAGCAAAUACUACUGCAGCAGCAGCAGCAGCUCAUGGCGGCGGGCAACCUACUGCGCUCGUCCACUUCGGUAACCAACAUACUCUCCCAAGGCCAUCAUCAGCUCUCAGCCACAGCCAACAAUCAUCUGUAUCAAUCAGUAGUGGGUCAGUUAGCUCAAUCGCAUCGAGCCUUGCAACAAGCGGUGCAACAGCCCUUUCAAUUGGCGGGCUCAGCGGUCUCGGCAAUUCCCGACCAAUCGCCACUGCCACUUCCAGGCACACCCUCCCCAGGCAGUAGCUCAGCCUCGACGGGCUCCGGCUCGGGGUCGGGCUCGGGUUCGGGCAAGAGCACUGAUACCAUCAAGCGCGGUGCUUCGCCCGCUUCCAUCAAGCAAGUGAAAAUUGUUGACACGCCCAGCCCGUACUCGGUUGUACAG
RNAcentral lists this unclassified non-coding RNA (5065 nucleotides) under Drosophila virilis. Its description in RNAcentral is "GJ24460". The record is from RNAcentral. Lineage: Eukaryota; Metazoa; Arthropoda; Insecta; Diptera; Drosophilidae.